GCUAUAGAAACAAAGCGAGCACGUCAACAAAUUCAGCUCAAACAUAGCUGAAACUUAUUAGCAAACGAGCUCUAUUUCACGAGAUUGACGUAUUCAAAGGAAAAUAGGGGUGGUAAAAAUCUGAAGAGUAUUUUAAGAGGAGGAAAGUACAAAGUGCUGAACAUCAUGAGAUAUUCAUCCCUUUAUGUCCACAAGAACACUCCCUCGCCGUUCUAUACUCCAAAAAGUACAACCAAAAGCAAGACGAGGCUUUACUCAGAAUAGAAACUAAUCAAGUCAGCAACGCAAUAAGCAAAUUAUGGUCAUUACACAGCAAUAUGAAAAAAAAAAAAAAAUCAGGCGACAAGAUUAAUAGAAAAGGAAACAAAACGAACGAAAUGAAAUAAAGGUGAGGCGUGGAGGUCACAACAACAACAUAAAAAAAAUACUGCACUUAAGAUUGAAAAGAGGUAACCUAUUUUGGGGCAGCGAACCUACACGGUGAGUAGACGACAAUCAGUUUUCACACCACUUCGAUAUGCGAGUGAUAAAAAAAAUGAGAAUUAGAGUGAGUAUUAAUGACAACUGGAAAAAAUAAUCGCAAAGGAAAUAGAGAACUUAGUGAACCGGAGAGUGUGGUAAACCUCAAAUAUUCCCCCCUUUUUCCCUACCACUUGACUUAUGAUCUGAAGGGGUGAACAAGCCCCCUUUUAUAGGCAAAAUAUGGACUACAAUAGCUUCUCAAAGAAGCUUUCAAAAAAUUCAAAUUUGAUGUGCUUGAGAAGACAAAUUGCUGGUUGAUUCAGAGGGAUUAAUGGUGAAAAGAGAUAAAAGAAGAGAAAGGAGUCACCUUUUUGGCCGAUUUGAGAGACGAGUGACGGUUUGGAGGCGGAGAGGCUUGGAACCAUUGGUUUAAUCUCGGUAGCUGUCGAAUUGAAGGAAAAAACAUCUUGAAACUGCUGAUACUCAAUUCCCUCCUAUUUUCAGAAAUCGCAAGGCCUUGAACUUUGUUUUACUUCAACAAAAAAAUGAUGGAAAGGUGACAAGAGAGGACAAACGAGAGGAAAGGUGAAAACCACCAGAUUUCUUAAUUAUCCGGUGAUCCGAGUUUUGAUGGGCGUCCCUGGUUGAUAUUAUUGUUGUUUUGUCGAUAUUGUUGCUGGGGUUGUGUUACUCUGUUUGUUGAAAUUGUGAAAGGAAGGGUAAUGAAUGUUUUUUUUUUUUUUUAAAAGUGAUAUUACAUAAAACUUUCAUUAUUUU
RNAcentral lists this long non-coding RNA (1239 nucleotides) under Capsicum annuum. RNAcentral describes it as "long non-coding RNA (CANN_LNC017050)". Lineage: Eukaryota; Viridiplantae; Streptophyta; Magnoliopsida; Solanales; Solanaceae. The record is from RNAcentral.